UGCCAGCAGCCGCGGUAAUACGGAGGGUGCAAGCGUUAAUCGGAAUUACUGGGCGUAAAGCGCUCGUAGGCGGCUUGUUAAGUCGGAUGUGAAAGCCCUGGGCUCAACCUGGGAACUGCAUUCGAUACUGGCAAGCUAGAGUAUAGUAGAGGCAAGUGGAAUUCCGGGUGUAGCGGUGAAAUGCGUAGAUAUCCGGAGGAACAUCAGUGGCGAAGGCGACUUGCUGGACUAAUACUGACGCUGAGGAGAGAAAGCGUUGGGAGCAAACGGGAUUAGAUA
This 279-nucleotide ribosomal RNA is filed under the name uncultured bacterium. Its description in RNAcentral is "partial 16S ribosomal RNA". It matches the Rfam family "Bacterial small subunit ribosomal RNA", at positions 506 to 784 of the family's 1533-position model. The record is from RNAcentral.